UACAGAGGUGGCAAGCGUUGUUCGGAAUUACUGGGCGUAAAGGGCGCGUAGGCAGUCUUGUAAGUCCCGUGUGAAAGCCCCCGGCUCAACUGGGGAACGGCACGGGAAACUGCGAGGCUUGAGUGCGGGAGAGGGAAGCGGAAUUCCGGGUGUAGCGGUGAAAUGCGUAGAUAUCCGGAGGAACACCAGUGGCGAAGGCGGCUUCCUGGACCGAUACUGACGCUGAGGCGCGAAAGCUAGGGGAGCAAACGGG
RNAcentral lists this ribosomal RNA (253 nucleotides) under uncultured bacterium. Its description in RNAcentral is "partial 16S ribosomal RNA". It matches the Rfam family "Bacterial small subunit ribosomal RNA", at positions 524 to 776 of the family's 1533-position model. The record is from RNAcentral.